UUUGAGGUGUUUCUAAGGUUUUCAGAAGGAUCAUCCUUGACUUGGAAAGAGAACUCCAAAUGUUGAAUUUCUUCUUCCUUCGAUGUUCAUGGUCCGGGAGAGGGCUCAACAGACAAUUCCUGGGAUGUGGGAGGUAAAGGUUCAGGUUUGGUUGUCAAGGGGCUCUGAUGGCUCAACAUGGAUUCCUGGUGGGGUUCACUAGGAUUGGUGACAAAGGAAGAGUUUUCUAGGAUGUGAUCUACUAUUUCCUUUCCUUUUGUCAGAGUUUUGUGCGCAAAUGAACCUUCGGCAGUGAUGUCGAGAUAUAGGGCAAAGAUCAUAUCUAAAUCCAUGUAAAAGAUGUGCAAUGAUAUAUCAUCGGGUAUUGACUAGUUUGGGCUUGAUGUUAAAAGGUGUGAGAAUCUAGCCCAUGCUGCACCUAAGGACU
This 427-nucleotide long non-coding RNA is filed under the name Setaria viridis. RNAcentral's name for it is "long non-coding RNA (SVIR_LNC006941)". Lineage: Eukaryota; Viridiplantae; Streptophyta; Magnoliopsida; Poales; Poaceae. The record is from RNAcentral.